GGGGAAUAUUGGACAAUGGGCGAAAGCCUGAUCCAGCCAUGCCGCGUGAGUGAUGAAGGCCCUAGGGUUGUAAAGCUCUUUCAGCGGGGACGAUAAUGACGGUACCCGCAGAAGAAGCCCCGGCUAACUUCGUGCCAGCAGCCGCGGUAAUACGAAGGGGGCUAGCGUUGUUCGGAAUCACUGGGCGUAAAGCGCGCGUAGGCGGAUCGUUAAGUCGGGGGUGAAAUCCCGAGGCUCAACCUCGGAACUGCCUUCGAUACUGACGACCUUGAGUCCGGGAGAGGUGAGUGGAAUUCCUAGUGUAGAGGUGAAAUUCGUAGAUAUUAGGAAGAACACCAGUGGCGAAGGCGGCUCACUGGCCCGGUACUGACGCUGAUGUGCGAAAGCGUGGGGAGCAAA
This 399-nucleotide ribosomal RNA is filed under the name uncultured bacterium. RNAcentral describes it as "bacterial SSU rRNA". It matches the Rfam family "Bacterial small subunit ribosomal RNA", at positions 356 to 772 of the family's 1533-position model. The record is from RNAcentral.